This 253-nucleotide ribosomal RNA is filed under the name uncultured bacterium. RNAcentral's name for it is "partial 16S ribosomal RNA". It matches the Rfam family "Bacterial small subunit ribosomal RNA", at positions 524 to 776 of the family's 1533-position model. The record is from RNAcentral.
UACAGAGGUCCCGAGCGUUGUUCGGAUUCACUGGGCGUAAAGGGUGCGUAGGUGGCCUGACAAGUUUGAUGUGAAAGCUCAGGGCUUAACCCUGAAAUGGCAUUGAAUACUGUCGGGCUGGAGGUUUGGAGGGGGGACUGGAAUUCUUGGUGUAGCAGUGAAAUGCGUAGAUAUCAAGAGGAACACCAGUGGCGAAGGCGAGUCCCUGGACAACACCUGACACUGAGGCACGAAAGCUAGGGGAGCAAACAGG